GUGUCAGCCGCCGCGGUAAUACGGAGGGCGCAAGCGUUGUCCGGAAUCACUGGGUGUAAAGGGUGUGUAGGCGGGACAGUAAGUCGGUGGUGAAAGCCCGCGGCUUAACCGUGGAAUUGCCUCCGAUACUGCUGUCCUUGAGUCCUGGAGAGGCUACUGGAAUUCGUGGUGUAGCGGUGAAAUGCGUAGAUAUCACGAGGAACACCAGAGGCGAAGGCGGGUAGCUGGACAGGUACUGACGCUGAGGCACGAAAGCGUGGGGAGCAAACAGGAUUAGAUACCCUGGUAGUCCACGCCCUAAACGAUGAAUGCUCGGUGUUGCCCCGUCAGGGGCAGUGCCUAAGCUAACGCGUUAAGCAUUCCACCUGGGGAGUACGCUCGCAAGGGUGAAACUUAAAUGAAUUGACGGGG
This 411-nucleotide ribosomal RNA is filed under the name uncultured prokaryote. Its description in RNAcentral is "bacterial SSU rRNA". It matches the Rfam family "Bacterial small subunit ribosomal RNA", at positions 505 to 918 of the family's 1533-position model. The record is from RNAcentral.